This 253-nucleotide ribosomal RNA is filed under the name uncultured bacterium. RNAcentral describes it as "partial 16S ribosomal RNA". It matches the Rfam family "Bacterial small subunit ribosomal RNA", at positions 524 to 776 of the family's 1533-position model. The record is from RNAcentral.
UACAGGGGGGGCAAGCGUUGUUCGGAAUUACUGGGCGUAAAGGGUUCGUAGGUGGCCAACUUAGUCAGACGUGAAAUCCCUCAGCUUAACUGGGGAACUGCGUCUGAUACUGGAUGGCUUGAGUGCAGGAGAGGAACGCGGAAUUCCAGGUGUAGCGGUGAAAUGCGUAGAUAUCUGGAGGAACACCGGUGGCGAAGGCGGCGUUCUGGACUGCAACUGACACCGAGGAACGAAAGCCAGGGGAGCAAACGGG